RNAcentral lists this long non-coding RNA (1194 nucleotides) under Volvox carteri. RNAcentral's name for it is "long non-coding RNA (VCAR_LNC001100)". The record is from RNAcentral. Lineage: Eukaryota; Viridiplantae; Chlorophyta; Chlorophyceae; Chlamydomonadales; Volvocaceae.
UCGGUUACACGGACACUGUGGAGUUUUCGGCGGCGUCAGCCAUCACCCACCGGAAGCUGAAACAAACGAAAUUGACCAACGAUGUAAAGGUUGAGACUGCAAGGGUGAAGUACAACCGCAAGGCCACGCUGCAGAUUGGUGGCGGCGGCAAGUGAUGAUGGGGUUUGAGAAAAAAAAUGGAGUGCGCUAACGGCUGUGAAAUGCAAGGCUGUAAGGCCCGAAACAUCAUCCAGGCUUCUUCCUGUUACUGCGGACAUGGGGAAGGGAGGAGUCGGUGGCGGCUCUGUGAACUCCUCACUUCGAAGGCGCUCUGCUCCGCGAUGAAGGAAGGUCUUUGGGGGCUGUAACGUGUUUGAAUGCUAUCGGCCGCUGUGCGAGAUUCGUGUGGGCCAGGGCAGCCGAGUGCGACUUAUUAAACGUCUUUCAUGGUUAUGUGGCACAGCUGCCGCGCCCGUUCUGGAAGUGCAGUUGGCAAUGGGUCCGCCCGCCCUUGGCCGGAUUGGGCAGACAGAACAUGGCUGCGGUGAUGGUCUCGGUGACAGCCUAUGAGGCGAGGGGCAGGCGAGUAGCUGCAGCAGCCGACUGUCGUUACUGAGUGCUGGCAGUAUUAUAAGCCCGACCAUGUAUGUUAGCUGUCGGACGGUUUUUAAAAUAUUUUUGUAAGUUUAGGGCGCAUAGCUCAAGGUCUCUAACCUGCCUCGCCGCCAAUGACCCUUAGGAUGCUUCCGGAUGCUCCCCGCCUCCAUCGCCGAGAUCCUUUGCUGCGCACUCUCACCGAGCCGUGUGAACUGCUGGCUAAUGCCGUCCAUUCCAACAACAACGACAACAUAUGGCACAACAAGGAUGGAAUGGAAAGUAGGUUGUAACGUAAAAAAUGGUCAGCUAUAGAGGUCGGCAAAUAAGGCGGGUCCGUACCACAGUACUCGCAGCCGAAAUUCGCCUUAAGCCUCCGGCUGCGCGUCCCUAAUGAUCAAAACUCGACCAAAAGACGUGAUUUGCAUUCUCUAUUGCGACCCGUAGGGCCGCGCGCUGGACUUGAACUCUGUGUUUGACUUUGUAAAAGACUGUCACGACCACUACACAAUUCGGUGACGGUUAUCAUUUUUAAAUUAUUACAUUUUUAGCGUCUGUACCGACGACUUGCAGCUGCCGCAGCACUAGAGUUGGUCAAUAUUUGACUUAGGCAUAUCAGGG